CGCGUAGGCGGCUCGGUAAGUCUGGAGUGAAAGUCCUGCUUUUAAGGUGGGAAUUGCUUUGGAUACUGUCGGGCUUGAGUGCAGGAGAGGUUAGCGGAAUUCCCAGUGUAGCGGUGAAAUGCGUAGAGAUUGGGAGGAACACCAGUGGCGAAGGCGACUAACUGGACUGUAACUGACGCUGAGGCGCGAAAGUGUGGGGAGCAAACA
Molecule: ribosomal RNA, 207 nt
Filed under: uncultured bacterium
Lineage: Bacteria
Description: partial 16S ribosomal RNA
Rfam family: Bacterial small subunit ribosomal RNA
Source: RNAcentral